RNAcentral lists this ribosomal RNA (1372 nucleotides) under Aurantiochytrium limacinum. RNAcentral's name for it is "partial Bacterial large subunit ribosomal RNA". It matches the Rfam family "Bacterial large subunit ribosomal RNA", at positions 526 to 1888 of the family's 2925-position model. The record is from RNAcentral. Lineage: Eukaryota; Bigyra; Thraustochytrida; Thraustochytriidae.
CCUGUAAGGGGAGUGAAAUAGAACCUGAAACCGUGUACGUACAAGCAGUGGGAGCACCUUCGUGGUGUGACUGCGUACCUUUUGUAUAAUGGGUCAGCGACUUACAUUCAGUGGCGAGGUUAACCGAAUAGGGGAGCCGUAGAGAAAUCGAGUCCGAACAGGGCGACAGUCGCUGGGUGUAGACCCGAAACCAAGUGAUCUAUCCAUGGCCAGGAUGAAGGUGCCGUAACAGGUACUGGAGGUCCGAACCCACUACUGUUGCAAAAGUAGGGGAUGAGCUGUGGAUAGGGGUGAAAGGCUAAACAAACCUGGAAAUAGCUGGUUCUCUCCGAAAACUAUUUAGGUAGUGCCUCAAGUAUCACCAUCGGGGGUAGAGCACUGUUAUGGCUAGGGGGUCAUCGCGACUUACCAAACCAUUGCAAACUCCGAAUACCAGUACGUACUAUCCGGGAGACACACGGCGGGUGCUAACGUCCGUCGUGAAAAGGGAAACAACCCAGACCCACAGCUAAGGUCCCAAAUUCACUGCUAAGUGGAAAACGAUGUGGAAAGGCAUAGACAGCCAGGAGGUUGGCUUAGAAGCAGCCACCCUUUAAAGAAAGCGUAAUAGCUCACUGGUCGAGUCGGUCUGCGCGGAAGAUUUAACGGGGCUAAGCAGUGAACCGAAGCUUGGGGUGCGUAAAACUUCGGUUUUAUGCGCGGUAGAGGAGCGUUCCGUAAGCCUGCGAAGGUGGAUUGAGAAGUCUGCUGGAGGUAUCGGAAGUGCGAAUGCUGACAUGAGUAACGAUAAUGCGGGUGAAAAGCCCGCACGCCGAAAGCCCAAGGUUUCCUUGCGCAACGUUAAUCGACGCAGGGUUAGUCGGUCCCUAAGGCGAGGGCGAAAGCCGUAGUCGAUGGGAAGCAGGUUAAUAUUCCUGCACCUCGCGUGAGUGCGAUGGAGGGACGGAGAAGGUUAGGUGUACCGGGCGUUGGUUGUCCCGGGGAAAGGCGGUAGGUUUGGAUCUUUGGCAAAUCCGGGAUCCUUUAAGACCGAGCACCGAGACGAGCCUUUAUGGCGAAGUCACUGAUACCACGCUUCCAGGAAAAGCUCCUAAGCUUCAGCUCACGAAGACCGUACCGUAAACCGACACAGGUGGGUAGGAUGAGAAUACUCAGGCGCUUGAGAGAACUCGGGUGAAGGAACUAGGCAACAUGGCACCGUAACUUCGGGAGAAGGUGCGCCGGUGAGGGUGAAGGACUUGCUCCGUAAGCUCAUGCCGGUCGAAGAUACCAGGCCGCUGCGACUGUUUAUUAAAAACACAGCACUCUGCAAACACGAAAGUGGACGUAUAGGGUGUGACGCCUGCCCGGUGCUGGAAGGUUAAUUGAUGGG